This 1196-nucleotide ribosomal RNA is filed under the name human gut metagenome. RNAcentral's name for it is "bacterial LSU rRNA". It matches the Rfam family "Bacterial large subunit ribosomal RNA", at positions 1107 to 2303 of the family's 2925-position model. The record is from RNAcentral.
UAGAAGCAGCCAUCCUUCAAAGAAAGCGUAAUAGCUCACUGAUCGAGUCCUCAUGCGCGGAAGAUGUAACGGGGCUAAGUCAAUAACCGAAAGCGCGGAUUUGUACGGAAGUACAAGUGGUAGGGGAGCGUUCUGUAAGCCUGCGAAGGUGGUUCGAGAGGACUGCUGGAGGUAUCAGAAGUGCGAAUGCUGACAUGAGUAACGUUAAAGCGGGUGAAAAGCCCGCUCGCCGUAAGCCCAAGGUUUCCUGCUCUACGUUCAUCGGAGCAGGGUGAGUCGGCCCCUAAGGCCAGGCUGAGAAGCGUAGUCGAUGGGAAGCAGAUUAAUAUUUCUGCACCAUGUGCAAGUGCGAUGGGGGGACGGAGUGCGAAAGAUCAUCCGGGUGUUGGAUGUCCCGGUUUGUGAGUGUAGAAGGCCGACAGGCAAAUCCGUCGGCGGAUCUUCGAGACAAAGCAUCGAGGUUCUACGGAACCGAAGUGAUCGGAAGUGCUUCCAGGAAAAGCCUCUAAGCUCCAGCUUGCAUGUGACCGUACCGUAAACCGACACUGGUGGGCGAGUUGAAUAUACUCAGGCGCUUGAGAGAACUCGGGAGAAGGAACUCGGCAAAUUGACACCGUAACUUCGGGAUAAGGUGUGCCUUUGUAGCGUGAAGAGAGAAACGCUCGGAGCGUGAAGAGGCCUCAGAGAAUCGGUGGCUGCAACUGUUUAUUAAAAACACAGCACUCUGCAAAGACGAAAGUCGACGUAUAGGGUGUGAUGCCUGCCCGGUGCUGGAAGAUUAAGUGAUGGGGUGAGAGCUCCUGAUCGAAGUCCCAGUAAACGGCGGCCGUAACUAUAACGGUCCUAAGGUAGCGAAAUUCCUUGUCGGGUAAGUUCCGACCUGCACGAAUGGCAUAAUGAUGGCCACACUGUCUCCUCCCGAGACUCAGUGAAGUUGAAAUGUUUGUGAUGAUGCAAUCUCCCCGCGGCUAGACGGAAAGACCCCAUGAACCUUUACUGUAGCUUUGCAUUGGACUUUGAACCGAUUUGUGUAGGAUAGGCGGGAGGCAGAGAAAGCGCAACGCCAGUUGUGCCGGAGCCGACGUUGAAAUACCGCCCUGAUUUGUUUGAGGUUCUAACCGCGACCCGUGAGCCGGGUUCGGGACCGUGCAUGGCAGGCAGUUUGACUGGGGCGGUCUCCUCCUAAAGGGUAACGG